GACGAACGCUGGCGGCGUGCUUAACACAUGCAAGUCGAACGGAAAGGCCCUGCUUUUGUGGGGUGCUGGAGUGGCGAACGGGUGAGUAACACGUGAGUAACCUGCCCUUGACUUUGGGAUAACUUCAGGAAACUGGGGCUAAUACCGGAUAGGAGCUCCUGCUGCAUGGUGGGGGUUGGAACGUUUCGGCGGUUGGGGAUGGAUUAGCGGCUUAUCAGCUAGUUGGUGGGGUAGUGGUUUACCAAGGCUGUGACGGGUAGCCGGCCUGAGAGGGUGAACGGCCACAUUGCGACUGAGAUACGGAGCAGACGCCAACGGGAGGCAGAAGGGGGGAAUAUUGCACAAUGGGCGGAAGCCUGAUGCAGCAACGCCGCGGGCGGGAAGACGGCCUUCGGGGUGUAAACCGCUUUCGCCUGUGACGAAGCGUGAGUGACGGUAAUGGGUAAAGAAGCACCGGCUAACUACGUG
This 468-nucleotide ribosomal RNA is filed under the name uncultured bacterium. RNAcentral's name for it is "partial 16S ribosomal RNA". It matches the Rfam family "Bacterial small subunit ribosomal RNA", at positions 28 to 507 of the family's 1533-position model. The record is from RNAcentral.